CCUACGGGUGGCAGCAGUGAGGAAUAUUGCACAAUGGGGGAAACCCUGAUGCAGCGACGCCGCGUGAGCGAUGAAGUAUUUCGGUAUGUAAAGCUCUAUCAGCAGGGAAGAAAAUGACGGUACCUGACUAAGAAGCCCCGGCUAACUACAUUCCAGCAGCCGCGGUAAUACGUAGGGGGCAAGCGUUAUCCGGAUUUACUGGGUGUAAAGGGAGCGUAGACGGCUGUGCAAGCCAGUUGUGAAAGGCCGGGGCUCAACCCCGGGACUGCAUUUGAAACUGGGUGGCUGGAGUGUCGGAGAGGCAGGCGGAAUUCCUAGUGUAGCGGUGAAAUGCGUAGAUAUUAGGAAGAACACCAGUGGCGAAGGCAGCCUGCUGGACGAUGACUGACGUUGAGGCUCGAAAGCGUGGGUAGCAAACAGGAUUAGAUACCCCAGUAGUC
This 440-nucleotide ribosomal RNA is filed under the name uncultured bacterium. Its description in RNAcentral is "partial 16S ribosomal RNA". It matches the Rfam family "Bacterial small subunit ribosomal RNA", at positions 338 to 795 of the family's 1533-position model. The record is from RNAcentral.